GACGAACGCUGGCGGCGUGCUUAACACAUGCAAGUCGAACGGAAAGGCCCUGCUUUUGUGGGGUGCUCGAGUGGCGAACGGGUGAGUAACACGUGAGUAACCUGCCCUUGACUUUGGGAUAACUUCAGGAAACUGGGGCUAAUACCGGAUAGGAGCUCCUGCUGCAUGGUGGGGGUUGGAAAGUUUCGGCGGUUGGGGAUGGACUCGCGGCUUAUCAGCUUGUUGGUGGGGUAGUGGCUUACCAAGGCUUUGACGGAUAGCCGGCCUUGGAGGGUGAACGGCCACCUUGGGACUGAGGUACGGCCCAGACUCCUACGGUGGGCAGCAGUGGGGAAUAUUGCACAAUGGGCGGAAGCCGGAUGCAGCAACGCCGCGUGCGGGAUGACGGCCUUCUGGUUGUAAAACGCUUUCGCCUGUGACGAAGCGUGAGUGACGGUAAUGGGUAAAGAAGCACCGGCUAACUACGUG
Molecule: ribosomal RNA, 468 nt
Filed under: uncultured bacterium
Lineage: Bacteria
Description: partial 16S ribosomal RNA
Rfam family: Bacterial small subunit ribosomal RNA
Source: RNAcentral